Molecule: long non-coding RNA, 392 nt
Filed under: Cervus hanglu yarkandensis (Yarkand deer)
Lineage: Eukaryota; Metazoa; Chordata; Mammalia; Artiodactyla; Cervidae
Description: lncRNA (ENSCHYG00000008229.1)
Source: RNAcentral
CAAAUCUGAACGGAGGUUAAGGUGUUAAAGGAAUGGGGGAGGUGGGAAGCAGAGCAGAAAGGCGGGAGGUGGUCGCAGGAUAUUGCCUGGGACUGCCGGCUCAGUGGAUUUUGGGAAUUGUAGUCCGCCAGUCGUCCAGGGCAUUCCGGUUUAGGGAACCUGACUACGAGUCCCAGAAGCCUUCGGAGCGGCUCUCUGGGAACGCACUUCCGGGGACGCCGAGAGGGAGACGCUCCGAGAGGCUCUUCAGUGUGGGCGAGGGAAAAUGCCCUGGAUGUGAGAAACAGGUCCAGGUCAUCUUGGCUGUGUUCAGAUGUGCAUAUAUUUCUUCUAAGUUGAGUAAAGUUGUUUUGGAACCUUCAAGUACCUCAAAGAUCUGACUGGCGGUACUG